CCUACGGGAGGCAGCAGUGGGGAAUCUUGCGCAAUGGGCGAAAGCCUGACGCAGCCAUGCCGCGUGAAUGAUGAAGGUCUUAGGAUUGUAAAAUUCUUUCAGUAGGGACGAUAAUGACGGUACCUACAGAAGAAGCCCCGGCUAACUUCGUGCCAGCAGCCGCGGUAAUACGAAGGGGGCUAGCGUUGCUCGGAAUUACUGGGCGUAAAGGGAGCGUAGGCGGGUUAUCAAGUUGGAGGUGAAAGCCCAGGGCUCAACCUUGGAAUUGCCUUCAAAACUGAUAGCCUAGAGUAUGAUAGAGGUAAGUGGAACUCCGAGUGUAGAGGUGAAAUUCGUAGAUAUUCGGAAGAACACCAGUGGCGAAGGCGACUUACUGGAUCAUGACUGACGCUGAGGCUCGAAAGCGUGGGGANCAAACAGGAUUAGAUACCCUGGUAGUCCACGCUGUAAACGAUGAUUGCUAGUUGUCGGACGGCAUGCCGUUCGGUGACGCAGCUAACGCAUUAAGCAAAUCCGCCUGGGGAUACGGUCGCAAGNUUAAAACUCAAAAGGAAUUGAACGG
Molecule: ribosomal RNA, 562 nt
Filed under: uncultured bacterium
Lineage: Bacteria
Description: bacterial SSU rRNA
Rfam family: Bacterial small subunit ribosomal RNA
Source: RNAcentral